CAGCUUUGUAACAAAUUAGUGCAACUUACUGUCUUAUUUAGUUUACUGCAUUUAUCAAGUCAAAAUAAUUGCUAGGUGAGGUUUGUUCACCUUAUAAAGUGGCCCAGAAGUUAGUAAUUUUAGGAGUAAGUUGGGUGGAAUAAAACGUUAAAUUUAGGAGUUAUAUUUGUAGUAGGAGUCUAUAUAUACAGAGUAAAGUUGCUCUGUUUUCUCUUGUAAUUUCAGUCGCCAUAUUUUCUAUUCAAAAAAAAGCUUUUGGCUGUUUUAUUUUCCUUCACUGUUCUUGUUCUAUGACUUCUCCUGCUCUAUACUUUUGUUAUAUAGUAUCAAAGCCAGGUUGAAGGGAGGAAUUCUUUUUUCUUUUCUAUCUUCUUGUCUAUCAGUUUACUCUGUUGGAG
Molecule: long non-coding RNA, 398 nt
Filed under: Capsicum annuum
Lineage: Eukaryota; Viridiplantae; Streptophyta; Magnoliopsida; Solanales; Solanaceae
Description: long non-coding RNA (CANN_LNC004006)
Source: RNAcentral